CACGGCGCCCCUGCUGAUAUCAGACCACUUUGGAUCAGCAGAUUGAAAAGUCAUCCACCUACUUCGCCACAUUCACCCCUCUGAAUUAAACCCUGCAUCUGAGAACCAGAAAUAUGUCUGAUCAGCUUUGCCUCUUAAGGCACCAACCCAGACAAAUGGAAAGCAAAUGUCUGAACCCUGUUUUGUUCUUCCGUGGACCUGCUGGAAGUCACUCUGGGUCAGUUGCCUUGGCCGGCGCGCUGAAAACACACAAGACAACCGCUUUGAACUAUCAAAGAAGCAAUUCUUUGUAAAACAAGGCGAUUCGUCUUGAUGACAGCUGGCGCUAUGAGAGCAGACGGGUCCCAAAACACUGCUACAGCAACCGAGCUGUUAGGUUACACGGCCUUGAAAUGUACCCUGCAAACAAGAUAAGUCUUUGAAGAUUUGGCUUUCUGGAGAAAAAAAAAUGAAAGCAAUCGAUACAAUUUAAGAUAAGAUUCAUAAAAAUCACUGAGUGUAUUUCCACUAAAAACACAGGACCACAGUGAUCGUCCACUGAUGCCAUUUAGCGUUAACGCAACAAGCUGAUCUGAGGGAACGCAUCUGAGAGACUUCGGCGAUGAAUGAGAGCAAAACAAGAAGAUAAACACCGGGAAGGGCAUCAGUGGAGUGGAAACAGGUGAGACUGAUGAACUGAACCGCUGGGAUGGGUGCAGGCUGGCUGACCGAGGGGGACUGGCAGGAAUUUACCCUGCAACCGCGUAAAAACACGGGCAACAAAAACCAAAAGACCCGAUAAAACUGAAAAGAGAUCUAACAGACAUGCCCUCUAAGUUCUACAGGUUAUGACUCUAAUA
Molecule: long non-coding RNA, 839 nt
Organism: Fundulus heteroclitus (mummichog)
Lineage: Eukaryota; Metazoa; Chordata; Actinopteri; Cyprinodontiformes; Fundulidae
Exons: 3
Source: RefSeq, a predicted model, not a curated record